RNAcentral lists this long non-coding RNA (982 nucleotides) under Oryctolagus cuniculus (rabbit). Its description in RNAcentral is "lncRNA (ENSOCUG00000038875.1)". Lineage: Eukaryota; Metazoa; Chordata; Mammalia; Lagomorpha; Leporidae. The record is from RNAcentral.
AUGGCUCCGUGGAACGCAGAGCUGGGGUGGCUAGGGACCCUGCAGUUUGCCCCAUGUGUUCACCAGCGUCUGCUGACCAGGAUUCCAUGGGCUCCUCCGAGCCCCUGCACAGUCUGCCUGUGGACUCAGGUCUCCAGAAGUGGUCAUCGUACGUGGCCUUGGGACCACAUCAGACCGCAGUCCCCAGACGCCUGCCAAGCCCAGCCUUGCCCAGCAGCCUCACCCAGCUCUGCCACCAAACUCUCACGUCUUGUCCUCCUCCAUGGAGAUCCGAGCCUUACACCGUACUUUUUGAAUUUUUAGCCAAAAAUUUCAGUGGGCUGUGGAGGACAGGGUGAAGUUCUGCAUGUGUCCAACUAAAAUGGAAAAUAAUUAAGUUGCUGAAAAACUGUGCACAGUAGUAGACACAAGCAAACCGUUCAUGCGCAGCAGUGAAAUUCACUCACCCCUUCACUUCUGUCAGCGAGAAGCAGACAUAGCUCUCAGCCCACCUAAAACGUGGCGGCAUCAGGCAAGACCCGCCACGGUUCCAGGAUCCGCCACGGUUCCGCCGGCUCCCUGGGCACAGCGCCGUGGCCCUCGCCUCGGUUUCUCUCUUGUGCCACCUCACCAAGCAGGGGCACUUGCCAGACCCCCUCUGGGCUGUGCCGGGAACACCAGCAGGGACCCUCUGUGAGGCCUGGUUCCUCACCUCCGGUGGCCUGGUUCUCAUCUGGGCUCCCAGGGAAGGAUUCAGAGCUGCCUGGCCACUGCUCAGCAAGCCCCGUUUGUCAUCCGGAAUAUUCACAUUCUGGUAAAUUCCUCAGGCAGCUGACAGGUGCUUCCCGGUGCAGUGGGGAGCCAUGUCAGCUGCACCUCUUGGUGGGAGACCUGUCAGAGAAUCUGCACACGCACUGUCUUCUGGCCUGCUGUGUGGACGGAACCUGGGGACCAAGUGCUGUAGUCUGGCCCGUGCCUGUGGUGUGGACUGUGAACAGGGCAC